This is a long non-coding RNA of Dalotia coriaria, 851 nucleotides long. RefSeq lists it as uncharacterized. Lineage: Eukaryota; Metazoa; Arthropoda; Insecta; Coleoptera; Staphylinidae. The transcript has 2 exons. The record is from RefSeq and is a predicted model, not a curated record.
AAAUAUGAGUGGGAGGAGGCGGACGCAAGCGUUCAUUAAAUAGAAACUCAUUUUUUCCUUUUCAUACGUUGUUAUGCUAGGUAUACCAUCAAACAUUGCUGUUUGUAUUGGUACAAUAAGACAUACGUAACGCGCAGUAUAAAUGUUGAUUGUUUCUAAUAAAAUAUUUACGACUCACUGUUUUACAUAAUAAUAUACAGUGUGCCGGAGGAGGGUACCUUCAAAUUAAAGGUCAUCUAACUCACUUCCAGCUAUUUUAUUAAGAUAUCAAUAUUAAUCAUGACCUUAAAAUCUAUAUCCGAAUAUUUUGCUUCCUAUUUCUUUUACAAGCAGUUUUCCAUGGCUGACCGCCAUUGAUGAACUGGUUCAAGGUAUCCAGGUUUAUUUUUAUUUUGGUGGUACCACCCAAUCGCACCAAUCGCACCUAUAAAACUCCAUCAUCAAUUUGCUUUUCUUCAGUUCAACAAAAUCGACUGCAGGCAAAGUUUUAAAGAUGAAGUUUCUCCAAAUUAUUGUUUUCGUGGUUACGAUCGUUACUUUGAGCAUGACUACGCCGCUACCUAGAGAAAAACGUGGUCUGCAUCUACAUCUGGGCCACCAUCACACGCCAGUAGUACACCAUCAUCAUCAUUCCUUUGUGGAACCUGUACAUCACGUGCAUCACUCAUAUUCAGCCUACCACGUGCCAAUACACCCAGUUGAAGUUCAUCAUCAUCAUCAUCACAAUCUUUUCUGAAUUUUUAAAUUGUUAUAAUGACAGACUGAACAUAAACGUUGUGAUAUAUUUAAUUGUAUUUACAAGCAGGAUUAAACAGUUUCAUGAAUAAAUAAUUGUUACUGGUAAAACAAAA